Etheostoma cragini (Arkansas darter) is the source of this 176-nucleotide long non-coding RNA. RefSeq lists it as uncharacterized. The record is from RefSeq and is a predicted model, not a curated record. Lineage: Eukaryota; Metazoa; Chordata; Actinopteri; Perciformes; Percidae. The transcript is spliced from 4 exons.
UUAAUAUCCUGUGUUGAUGAGUCUUGCUCUAUCUAAUCUGCCAGAGGGGGAGCAGGAGUGCGGCUGUGAGGUUUAACGUUGGUAGUCCCCGGAGAAGAAGUUGGUCAUUUCAUGGCGCAAAUUAAAACCCAAAUUGAAACAUAAGCAACUAAAAUGGCUGAUUGUUACAACAUUGU